Molecule: ribosomal RNA, 1537 nt
Filed under: metagenome
Description: bacterial LSU rRNA
Rfam family: Bacterial large subunit ribosomal RNA
Source: RNAcentral
GACCGAUAGUGAACCAGUACUGUGAAGGAAAGGCGAAAAGAACCCCGGCGAGGGGAGUGAAAAAGAACCUGAAACCGUGUACGUACAAGCAGUAGGAGCCUCUUUAUGGGGUGACUGCGUACCUUUUGUAUAAUGGGUCAGCGACUUAUAUUCUGUAGCAAGGUUAACCGAAUAGGGGAGCCGAAGGGAAACCGAGUCUUAACUGGGCGUUAAGUUGCAGGGUAUAGACCCGAAACCCGGUGAUCUAGCCAUGGGCAGGUUGAAGGUUGGGUAACACUAACUGGAGGACCGAACCGACUAAUGUUGAAAAAUUAGCGGAUGACUUGUGGCUGGGGGUGAAAGGCCAAUCAAACCGGGAGAUAGCUGGUUCUCCCCGAAAGCUAUUUAGGUAGCGCCUCGUGAAUUCAUCUCCGGGGGUAGAGCACUGUUUCGGCAAGGGGGUCAUCCCGACUUACCAACCCGAUGCAAACUGCGAAUACCGGAGAAUGUUAUCACGGGAGACACACGGCGGGUGCUAACGUCCGUCGUGAAGAGGGAAACAACCCAGACCGCCAGCUAAGGUCCCAAAGUCAUGGUUAAGUGGGAAACGAUGUGGGAAGGCCCAGACAGCCAGGAUGUUGGCUUAGAAGCAGCCAUCAUUUAAAGAAAGCGUAAUAGCUCACUGGUCGAGUCGGCCUGCGCGGAAGAUGUAACGGGGCUAAACCAUGCACCGAAGCUGCGGCAGCGACACUAUGUGUUGUUGGGUAGGGGAGCGUUCUGUAAGCCUGUGAAGGUGGCCUGUGAGGGUUGCUGGAGGUAUCAGAAGUGCGAAUGCUGACAUAAGUAACGAUAAAGCGGGUGAAAAGCCCGCUCGCCGGAAGACCAAGGGUUCCUGUCCAACGUUAAUCGGGGCAGGGUGAGUCGACCCCUAAGGCGAGGCCGAAAGGCGUAGUCGAUGGGAAACAGGUUAAUAUUCCUGUACUUGGUGUUACUGCGAAGGGGGGACGGAGAAGGCUAUGUUGGCCGGGCGACGGUUGUCCCGGUUUAAGCGUGUAGGCUGGUUUUCCAGGCAAAUCCGGAAAACCAAGGCUGAGGCGUGAUGACGAGGCACUACGGUGCUGAAGCGACAAAUGCCCUGCUUCCAGGAAAAGCCUCUAAGCAUCAGGUAACAUCAAAUCGUACCCCAAACCGACACAGGUGGUCAGGUAGAGAAUACCAAGGCGCUUGAGAGAACUCGGGUGAAGGAACUAGGCAAAAUGGUGCCGUAACUUCGGGAGAAGGCACGCUGAUAUGUAGGUGAAGCGACUUGCUCGUGGAGCUGAAAUCAGUCGAAGAUACCAGCUGGCUGCAACUGUUUAUUAAAAACACAGCACUGUGCAAACACGAAAGUGGACGUAUACGGUGUGACGCCUGCCCGGUGCCGGAAGGUUAAUUGAUGGGGUUAGCGGCAACGCGAAGCUCUUGAUCGAAGCCCCGGUAAACGGCGGCCGUAACUAUAACGGGCCUAAGGUAGCGAAAUUCCUUGUCGGGUAAGUUCCGACCCGCACGAAAGGCGUAA